This 492-nucleotide ribosomal RNA is filed under the name uncultured bacterium. RNAcentral's name for it is "partial 16S ribosomal RNA". It matches the Rfam family "Bacterial small subunit ribosomal RNA", at positions 30 to 507 of the family's 1533-position model. The record is from RNAcentral.
AUUGAACGCUGGCGGCAUGCUUUACACAUGCAAGUCGAACGGUAACAGGCCUUCGGGUGCUGACGAGUGGCGCACGGGUGCGUAAUUCAUCGGAACGUGCCCAGAGGUGGGGGAUAACGCAGCGAAAGCUGUGCUAAUACCUCAUGUGAUCUGAGGAUGAAAGCGGGGGACCAAGCAGCAAUGUUUGGCCUCGCGCCUCUGGAUCGGCCGAUGUCAGAUUCGGUAGUUGGUGGGGUAAAGGCCUACCAAGCCGACGAUCUGUAGCUGGUCUGAGAGGACGACCAGCCACACUGGGACUGAGACACGGCCCAGACUCCUACGGGAGGCAGCAGCGGGGAAUUUUGGACAAUGGGCGCAAGCCUGAUCCAGCAAGGCCGCGUGCGGGAAGAAGGCCUUCGGGUUGUAAACCGCUUUUGUACGGAACGAAAAGGCUCUGGCUAAUACCUGGGGCUGAUGACGGUACCGUAAGAAUAAGCACCGGCUAACUACGUG